GGGAACUUGGUCAGUUUCAACUUUUUCCUUGACUCCCCAUCACAUUUAAUUGGCGAGGAAAUCAAGACACGGAGAGAGGUUGGGGGAAGGAGCAGGAGUGACAUUCUCUGAGCGUCGGCUCUGUGGUAGCUGUGUGGACAAGAUCUCUCUCGCUUAAUUGUCACAGCAGCCUCGUUGCUGAGGUAAGUGGUUUUGUCUCCAUUUUACAGGUUAACGCAUAGAGGCUGAGGGUAGUCUCUGAGGGAAAGGGUAGGGGCAAAGCUGGGGUUUGAAUCCGAACCUGCUGUUUUCUUGGCUUUGCAGGCUUCUAGGUUUUUCCCAUUUGGCUUCAGUGGGCCCAGGGUGAAGAUUUUGUGGCUGGGCCCAUGGACACAAGGUUUUUAUGGCCCUUCUGCUCAGAAAGGACGGCCCUCCCCUAGGCCUCUCGCAGAGGGCAGCUUGGGGGCCCCGGGGCAAUGGGCUGGGCAGCUCCGUCAGGCUUGAAGCUGAGGGCCCCAGGGCUGGAAGGAGGGUCCUGGGACGAGCAGCUGUGCCAAGACCCCUUAACUAAGAGUGAAAAGAGGAUUGGGUGUCUUUAUAAACUGAACUCAGGAGAAGAUCCAAAGGGCAAGGGUUUUCCUGGAAAAGAAAGCAAGUCCUGGAAGGUUUUUGUUUUGUUUUUCUUCUUAAUGGGACCCUGGUUAAUGACUCAAGGAAAUGAAGAACACAUUUCACCAAGAAUUAGUCACUGCCUUUCUCAACCCGCCCUCCAUCUUGCUGCCCCGUUGGAAACCUUCAGGACUGACUUCCUGCAGACAAAGAUCCAAACCCCGUGUCUUGUUCAUGUCGGGUCUGGCUCGGCCUUAUCUUUCACUUGUCCCGUUUAAACAAACUACUUAGUGGUAAUCUAUACACUCCUCCUCGAUUCCACCACUGGGCAUGUGUCCACACAGUUCCCCCUCUCUGAAAAGACUUCGUUUCAGCUUCUGCUUGUCUUCCUCCUUCUUUAGGACCCAGCUCAGAGGCUGCCUUCUCCAUGGAACCUUCUCUACUGCGUCCAGCAGGGACCAUGCUGCCUCGGGCUGGCCUUAUGGAUACAUGUGCCAGUUCUCCUCGGAGACCGGAACUCUUGAGAAACAGUGGUGGAGGCACCUUUGAUUCCCCUGUGUGAGCACGUGUGUGUGUGUCCUUCAUACUACUUAGCGGUAUGGUGUAAUGGCAAAUGCCCCGAGACCCUUGGGGCUGCCUUUAGAUUAGAGCUGAGCAAAUUUUGUGUUGGGGUGAGCUCUUGUGUGGCCCCCUUUCUCAAGUCAAGAAAGAGGGGCUUCUUUGCACCUGAAACUAAUAUAAUAUUGUAUGUUAAUUAUACUGAAAGAGAGAGAGAAGGACGGAGAGAGACAGAUGUUCCCUGGAGUCUACUCAAAAAGCUUAAUAUGUGUCUGUGGUAGUUUGAG
This 1433-nucleotide long non-coding RNA is filed under the name Lynx pardinus (Iberian lynx). Lineage: Eukaryota; Metazoa; Chordata; Mammalia; Carnivora; Felidae. The record is from RNAcentral.